ACGGGGGCAAUGAUGGCGAUGUCGGGGCCGGCGUCGGCUCAAACCGCUGAUGUCAAAGAUGUGAAGCCGAUCAAGCUCGCCGUUCUGGGCGAUUCCCUGACCGCAGGUUUCGGCCUUCCGGCCUCGGCGGCGUUNNNNNNNNNNAGAAAGCCCUGAGCGAGAAGGGGAUCGCCACCGACAUUCAUAACGCGGGGGUGUCCGGCGACACCACAACCGGCGGGCUCGCCCGGCUCGACUGGUCGAUCCCGCCCGGCACCGAAGCUGUGAUCGUCGA
RNAcentral lists this unclassified non-coding RNA (274 nucleotides) under Hevea brasiliensis (rubber tree). Lineage: Eukaryota; Viridiplantae; Streptophyta; Magnoliopsida; Malpighiales; Euphorbiaceae. The record is from RNAcentral.